Long non-coding RNA from Zeugodacus cucurbitae (melon fly), 4260 nucleotides. RefSeq lists it as uncharacterized. The record is from RefSeq and is a predicted model, not a curated record. Lineage: Eukaryota; Metazoa; Arthropoda; Insecta; Diptera; Tephritidae. The transcript is spliced from 2 exons.
CUUCUCGAAUGAGUGAAGUGUUAAAAUUAGAUAAUGCAGUUAGUUUUUGGUUAUUAUAUUCAAAGAAAUGUAAUGAGUAUUGGUGUAAUUGAAAUGUUUAAACUAUUUUUUAUACAUUUCACAUAUACAGUAUAAAAACGUAAGAAUACCUUUAUUGUUAAGUGGUUUCACAUAAAAUAACAAUUAUGUGUUGCAUUGCUAAAAAAAACAUCGAAAUAAUUGUUAAACUUCCAUUUCGAAUUUCCUCACAAUGAAUUUAAAAAUUUAUUGUAAAAUUGCGUGUGUGCCAAUAUGUCGGUAUGUGUGGGCACAUGUGGUAUCUCUUUUUUGUUUAUAAACUAGCUCACUGAUAACAUGCAGUAUUUUAUUGUUUUCUAAAAGAAAUUUUAAAUAUAGUUCGGUAAAGUUGGCCGUUGCGCUUUGGCUACCAGAAUGCUCGGGUUCGAAAAGAUUUUACCUAACUGUAGCCGCUUCUCGACACGUCCGUCUCAUAAUAUUCCUUGUAAACUUCUUAGAGAACGUAGAAGAAGGCUGCAAUGAAAUUUAUAACGGUACAUAAUUGCAAUGCUAAGGCCAUGGUAAGAUCUAUACCGCAUUAAAUUAUUUUUGGCACCAAUGUUGUCAAAAUGUACAAAUAUUUCCAUAGGGUCGUGUAGUUUAAGUACAUCUAAAAGUAAUCGGUACUAUUCUCAUUUAAAGAAUUAUCGCACUUAUAUCAUCCGGAAAUCAAUUCGUCUUUUCAUCCUAGCAACUUCGAUAUACGUAACUCUAUAUAUGUAUAUUUCGAUUAGUUGUACGGAACAAAACUACUAUAAUCUAUGCAACAGGUAUCGAUUGUAAAAGUAAGUUUAAAUUUCUAUCACUUCGUUGUUUAUCACUUUCGUUGCCAAAUUAGACCAAAAUUAAAAAUAAAAUAAACACGCAGCAUAGUGAAACAAAAAAUUGUCGUUGAUAGAUACAUACAUACAUACACUCCAUCACUGAGGGGCGACUGUUGAAACCAAGGCGUCUACUUAGGAAUUUCAACUCUAAUUUGCAACAUAUCCCUUGAUAUGCUGUCGUUGAUGAUGCUUAUUAACUGUCAGUCAUGAUCACACGCUCCAACUGCUAUAUGUGUGUAUUUCACCUGACAACACUUCCGACAUUUUUAACUCCUACGCGUUCACUUCUAAAUAUAGUAUUAUCUUUGGCGUGCGACACACUCUCACACAUCCAUAUGAAUAUUACCAGUGGGGAUGUAUUUUUUGUAAAUACAUACAUAUGUAUGUACAUUGUAUCCUCAACUAUGACCUUUUAAAUAUUUAUAUCUGGUUACUGCAAUGUUAAGCAUUCCGAAACACAAUGUACCUUGAAAAUUUUUGAAGCUGUGCAGAUGAGCAAAUUAACACAAUUUAUUAUUAACAAAUUGCAAUCGCUGCAUGGCGUACAGUUUUAUGUGUUUUGUUUGCUAUAAACAAAAUCACCCGCCAAUAUUGAACAACUAAAGGCUACACUUGGAAUACUUUAAUACAUACAUAUGUAUAUAGCUACUCUGCCUUUCUUGAUUAAUAUGCUCAUAUUUGAAAGUAAUUAUUUACAAUUAUAUACAAACGUAUGUAUCUGGAACAAAGACUUUGGCAAAAUAUAUUUUUUAACUGGGAAAUUUCGAAAUGUUCAACCAUCUGCAUAUUUCGAUAAGGAUUGUGGAAUUUAGAAAUUGCCCCCCAGUAUUUCAUUGUAAGACUAUUCCAAAUGAUUUACUAAGAGGUACGAGGUCUACCAAAAAAGCCAGAAUGCCAAUGAAGGACCACACCCCCUCAUGACAACUUGUAUUCCAUCCAUGUCUUGAAAAUUAACCUUACUACUUAACACACCUCGUAAGUAUGAAUCUAUUGAAAUAUAAAUCGCUCAUUUAUAUGAAUAAUGUCAUAACUCAAAAAACUGGGCAAUAGUUUCAAACGCUUUGAUUCAUACAUACUUUACAAAUUAUACCAACAACAUCAACAUCAAAAAACACAUUUUUAUUGGCUGGAAUUUUUUAAACAUAUCGCUCAUUUACAUGAAUAGUGUCAACACGAUUUUUGAGUUGAGUAUGCUGAAAUGUGCCCAAUUUCAUUGUCCAUAUGGUAUUUUUAAAAAUUUCAUUCUGAUACGUAGACACAUUUCAUUUGUUAUUCUGGCACAGCCACGUUUUUUUCAGAAAGAACGUCAUAUUUUGUGUUAGAACGAUAUUUUUGAAAAGGUAAUUCAAUUUUUCAUAAUGCUUUUUUCAUAAAUAACGACAUAAUUCAAAGUGGGUCACGUUUAUGCCCAAGAAAAAAUUUAGUACACUCUAUUUAGUCCACUUGUGCUCAGCAUUUUAUUUAGUUUAUACUAGUUUAUUCAAUACACGCAUGGCAUUUUUCUAUAUUUGCUAAAUAAAAGACAAUUGAAAACUUUAUACUGCUCUUCUGAAAAAUCGACUGUUUUGAGUUGUGACACUAUUCAUGUAAAUGAGCGAUAUGUUAAAGAAAAUUUAUUCAAUAUGUAUACAUAUAUGAUAUACUGUCAUAAUUAAAUUCAAAAUUCCAUUUUAUUUUACUAUGAAUGGUUUUGAUAGACUUUAAUUAGCUUGAUAUAUCAAAUACGCGCAAAACGUGCGCAAGUUUAUGCCACUUGUAUUAUUUCAAGAUUCUUGCUGAUUAAAUUUAUUUAUAGCAAAACGUACGCUCUUUCAUUUACAACCACUUAGUGCGUAAAUCAGCAAAUACACAAGCAUUUGACAUACAACACAGCGAUUACCAACAUUAGGAUCAUAAUCUGUAUAGAUAAGCUUACAAUCGAAAUUCCAAAAGAAAUUUCAUUUUUAAUUUUUAUACUCUCGCAACAUGUUGCACAGAGUAUUAUAGUUUCGUUCACAUAACGGUUGUUUGUAUCACCGAGAAAUAAAAGAGAUAGAUAUGGGGUUAUAUAUAUAUAUAAAUGAUCAGGAUGACGAGUGAAGUUGAAAUCCGGAUGUCUGUCCGCGCAAGCGAUACAAUUGUGAUAAUUGUGUGUGUCUGUUCCAAAAAUUUUUAAAAUCGGAUCAGAACUUCCCCUAGCUCCCAUAUACAUGUACCUAAUUAUGUGCGGGCUUUAUUCCGCACAUAUCGGUUAAUAUGUGAGAUAUCUUAGCAAAAUUAAGUGAUCAUAUAGUCUUGGAUAUAGUGUAGCUUGGUGGGGUAAAUGAGUAAAAUCGGUUUAGGAAUUACAUCAGCCCUCAUAUACCAUAUAUGAUGAUUUUCGUUAUUCUAUUGGACUUUAUGCCGCAUAUAUGGGUCAAAUUGUGUGUUAUCUUAAUAAAAUUACAUCAAUAAAUUGCGAGAGUAUAAAAAGUAAAAAAGGUCGCAUCCGAACUUAGCCUUUCCUUACUUGUUAUAUUUGUGUUUUCACAUUAUGAGUACAAGUACGUGUGUACGUGAUGAUUGGUGUCAAAUUUGUUAUUGAUAUAAAAAUAAGUAAAAAUUGGACUAAAAUACUUUUGUUUUAGUUUCACAAAUUACAAACAUUAUUUGUUGCCUUGCCAUACAAGGAAAAAUAACACAUUUGUCAUUAUUCGAUAUGAAUGAUCUGAAUGUUAAGAACCCAUUAAACUUGAAGUUUCAAGGGCUAAUUUAUCUGAAGAAAAUUAAAGAAAAAAAUUCGUGCAGAAACUGUUAAACGAUAAAAGCUGGUCAGGAAGAUCUUUGUUAAAUUUACCGACCUAAAUUGUUCCACGAAUAAAUAAACAAAGUGGCAACCUCAGAUUGAAUGUAAAACUUUAAACGCGUUUAUCUCAAAAUUAAAUUUUUCAAGUCGGUGGACACGAUUUCUAAAAAGGUUUGAAGAAAUUUUGUUCAAAUUUUGCACAGAUCUGUGAAAUAACAUUAUGAAGUUAAUGAGCGAUGGAUUUUUUUAUUCUUAUUACAACUAUUUUUUUUCGAUCCAAUAUACUUAUGACGAAAACUUGACCAAAAAAGUGCGUUUUUCGUUAAAAUUCUGUCAAAAUUAAAAUUUUAAUAUUUUCUUUUUUCCUUCGUUCUAUACAUGUAUGUAUGUACUCUCGAAAUAUUUUUGAUUGAUUGAUUUGGUUUAUUGAUUUUAAUGAGUUAUGCUGUCCACAGCAUACGGCAUUGGUACAUACGUAAUGAUAGUAAAGGUACCAACGGCUGAUUUUCGGAAUAUAUAAAUUAAAUAUUUCUCAAAUUACAGUUUAAAUUCAUAUGUACCUUUGAUAUGCUUAAUUGUUUAAAUAAAAGAUAUGAUUGUAUAUGGGUGAUUCUA